UAGCAUUUACCAUGGAAAACAGAAGGCUAACGAAACCCUAAUUUGUUUAUUUUUUCGGCCGCAUCCCUUCCACUUCCUCGCUCUUCUCCAUUUUCUUGUCCAUCCUCCGUGUCUUUCUAAUGUCGUAGAUGAUAAUACCUAUAUAAUCGAAAUAUCAUCAUAGAGGUUUCAAUCUUCUUAUCUUGCCGUGGAAAAUCUUUAGUCUCUUUUGUUUGAUUUUCAUAGUAACCAUCAUGGACUUCGAUCCUGUUCUUAUAAGCUGAAGCGUCAACAUAAUUAUGAAAAUGAAAUCGGGGUUUUCUCAUAGUCCACCAGUUCGAGUCAAUUCCAGAUUGCAUAGGAGGAGUUUUUUGUUGCUGGGAUUCGGAGGAUAAUAAUGAUGGUGGUGUCCUUUGUACACUCAUGGGAGCUGGCUUCAAAGAAGAAAUUUUGUACAACCAACGCAUAUUAAAAAGCAAAUCGUAGAAACUCAUGGAGUACGUGGUGGUUUCUGAUGCAACAUUUUCAGCUCCUAAACGGAUUGGAUUAGUGUUUUUACAUCUAAUGUUUGCUGCUUUGGAAGCAUCUAUGAUUAGACGUGCCAAUACUAACCCAAUAUCAGUUGGAAAAAUAAAGACGACACUACCAGUUAUCUAUAUGUUAGGGAAUGGCUUAACAAACCCAUCGAGGUUACAAUUUUGGAGAAGAAUGCGAGUAGUCUUCUUACAAGAACAGAGCGGAAGAUGACGACAAAGAUGCGGGUGCAGAUGAAUAGUGCGAUGAAGUUGACAAAACUAAUAGGGAUGCAAGUAAAAUGGCAGAGAAUAGAGCUUGUUAUCGAAUGGAGGGAAAUGUUUAUUUUUGAACACACUAUUAUGAAAAUAAUUUUUCUUAUUUCGACAAUUUAAUGAAUGUAGGAGAAAGAUUGUGCACUUAUUGGUGAAAUAAAUUUCUGAUGGAUUAGAGAGAAGGGAACUAAUCUAUGUCCAGAAUUUUUUCAGCAAAAAAAAAGGUAGCAUGAGAAGGUUACUCUCCCAACUGUGGUGCAAGGGAUUUGUAGAGAGCGAUGUUAAGGCUUCUGGAGGAUAAUUAACUUGGCAGAUAAUGUGCUCAGUGUAUUACUGGAGAAAAUUGGAUUAAUUACGGUAUAAAAACUUCGGCUAUAUUAUUGCCUUCCAAAAAUGACUUGGAAGUUCUGUUGAGGUGGACCACGAAAAUUCAAUAAAUUCUGUCAAAAAUCGAUGGAGAACAUAUUGCAGUAUCCAUAAAAAUGAAAAUUUCAAGUAAAGUUUACAACAACA
Molecule: long non-coding RNA, 1280 nt
Organism: Papaver somniferum (opium poppy)
Lineage: Eukaryota; Viridiplantae; Streptophyta; Magnoliopsida; Ranunculales; Papaveraceae
Exons: 6
Source: RefSeq, a predicted model, not a curated record